RNAcentral lists this ribosomal RNA (252 nucleotides) under uncultured bacterium. RNAcentral's name for it is "partial 16S ribosomal RNA". It matches the Rfam family "Bacterial small subunit ribosomal RNA", at positions 524 to 776 of the family's 1533-position model. The record is from RNAcentral.
UACGUAGGUGGCAAGCGUUGUCCGGAAUUAUUGGGCGUAAAGCGCGCGCAGGCGGUUUCUUAAGUCUGGUGUCUAAGUGCGGGGCUCAACCCCGUGAUGCACUGGAAACUGGGAGACUUGAGUGCAGAAGAGGAGAGCGGAAUUCCACGUGUAGCGGUGAAAUGCGUAGAGAUGUGGAGGAACACCAGUGGCGAAGGCGGCUCUCUGGACUGUAACUGACGCUGAGGCGCGAAAGCGUGGGGAGCAAACAGG